Molecule: ribosomal RNA, 665 nt
Filed under: Scolecobasidium constrictum
Lineage: Eukaryota; Fungi; Ascomycota; Dothideomycetes; Venturiales; Sympoventuriaceae
Description: Ochroconis constricta partial large subunit ribosomal RNA
Rfam family: Eukaryotic large subunit ribosomal RNA
Source: RNAcentral
GCCCCAGUAACGGCGAGUGAAGCGGCAACAGCUCAAAUUUGAAAUCUGGAGUCGUUGUGGCUUCCGAGUUGUAAUUUGCAGAGGGAGCCUCGGAGGGCUGGUCGGUCCAAGUGCCUUGGAACAGGAUACCGCAGAGGGUGAGAGUCCCGUAUCCGGCCGACGCAGCGCUCCGUGUGAGGCCUCUUCGACGAGUCGAGUUGUUUGGGAAUGCAGCUCUAAGUGGGUGGUAAAUUCCAUCUAAAGCUAAAUACUGGCCAGAGACCGAUAGCGAACAAGUAGAGUGAUCGAAAGAUGAAAAGCACUUUGAAAAGAGAGUUAAACAGUACGUGAAAUUGUUGAAAGGGAAGCGCAUGGGGGCAGACUUGGACGCGGGGUUCAGGGUCACAGUUUUGAGGCCUGUACUUCCCCGCGGACAGGCCAGCAUCGGUUCUGGGGGCCGGACAAAGGCGAGGGGAACGUGGCUCUCUUCGGGGAGUGUUAUAGCCCUUUGCGCAAUGCGGCCACCUGGGACCGAGGACCGCGCUUCGGCAAGGAUGCUGGCGUAAUGGCCUCAUGCGGCCCGUCUUGAAACACGGACCAAGGAGUCUAACAUCUAUGCGAGUGUUUGGGUGGCAAGCCCGGACGCGCAAUGAAAGUGAACGGAGGUGGGAGCUCUUUUCUUGUGG